RNAcentral lists this transfer RNA (76 nucleotides) under Bradyrhizobium sp. RNAcentral describes it as "tRNA-Lys". It matches the Rfam family "tRNA". From Rfam's summary of the family: Transfer RNA (tRNA) molecules are approximately 80 nucleotides in length. Their secondary structure includes four short double-helical elements and three loops (D, anti-codon, and T loops). Lineage: Bacteria; Pseudomonadati; Pseudomonadota; Alphaproteobacteria; Hyphomicrobiales; Nitrobacteraceae. RNAcentral also lists the same sequence under 4 other names. The record is from RNAcentral.
GGGCCGUUAGCUCAGUCGGUAGAGCAGCGGACUUUUAAUCCGCGUGUCCUGGGUUCGAUUCCCAGACGGCCCACCA